Molecule: ribosomal RNA, 301 nt
Filed under: uncultured bacterium
Lineage: Bacteria
Description: partial 16S ribosomal RNA
Rfam family: Bacterial small subunit ribosomal RNA
Source: RNAcentral
CAGUAGCCGCGGUAAUACGAAGGGUGCAAGCGUUACUCGGAAUUACUGGGCGUAAAGCGUGCGUAGGUGGUGGUUUAAGUCCGUUGUGAAAGCCCUGGGCUCAACCUGGGAAUUGCAGUGGAUACUGGGUCACUAGAGUGUGGUAGAGGAUAGUGGAAUUUCCGGUGUAGCAGUGAAAUGCGUAGAGAUCGGAAGGAACAUCUGUGGCGAAGGCGACUAUCUGGGCCAACACUGACACUGAGGCACGAAGGCGUGGGGAGCAAACAGGAUUAGAUACCCGUGUAGUCCCUGUCUCUUAUAC